AACGAACGCUGGCGGCAUGCCUAACACAUGCAAGUCGAACGAGACCUUCGGGUCUAGUGGCGCACGGGUGCGUAACGCGUGGGAACCUGCCCUUAGGUUCGGAAUAACUCCCCGAAAGGGGUUCUAAUACCGGAUAAUGUCUUCGGACCAAAGAUUUAUCGCCUUUGGAUGGGCCCGCGUUGGAUUAGCUAGUUGGUAGGGUAAAAGCCUACCAAGGCGACGAUCCAUAGCUGGUCUGAGAGGAUGAUCAGCCACACUGGGACUGAGACACGGCCCAGACUCCUACGGGAGGCAGCAGUGGGGAAUAUUGGACAAUGGGCGAAAGCCUGAUCCAGCAAUGCCGCGUGAGUGAUGAAGGCCUUAGGGUUGUAAAUCUCUGUUACCCGGGAUGAUAAUGACAGUACCGGGAGAAUAAGCUCCGGCUAACUCCGUG
RNAcentral lists this ribosomal RNA (433 nucleotides) under uncultured bacterium. Its description in RNAcentral is "partial 16S ribosomal RNA". It matches the Rfam family "Bacterial small subunit ribosomal RNA", at positions 29 to 507 of the family's 1533-position model. The record is from RNAcentral.